Nothobranchius furzeri (turquoise killifish) is the source of this 1635-nucleotide non-coding RNA. NCBI's taxonomy places the organism in Eukaryota, Metazoa, Chordata, Actinopteri, Cyprinodontiformes, Nothobranchiidae. The record is from RefSeq and is a predicted model, not a curated record.
UUGUGCCCCCUCAAGAAUAACAAAAAUAAUAAUUAAUAAAAUUUCUGUUUAAUAAUGUUAUAUGGCUGGCGUGAGUCACGUGACCAUACCGUCACGUGACCAUUCCGUCUCUUCCUCACGCCAGAGCGCACAGCCGGUCACAACAAGCUGCAAGCAAGCACCCACAUUUUCUUCAUGGCCGAGCGAGUGGUGCAAAGCUUUUAGGACAUACAUAUUGAUUGGGAGAAACGGACUAACACCGACAUGCUUCGUAAGGACAGGAGGCGGAAGCAGCGACAGAAAGAGUAUGUGAGGCAGCUAAAGGCAGUGGGUCCCUCACCAGCUGGAUAAAAAAAAAGAGUACAGUCUGAGAUCAACACAGCCUUGCCCUCCAGCAUCAUCAGCAGCAGCAAGAGGAGCAACCCUGCAACAGCUACAUUGUGCCCCAUCAUCAGGUAAAAUAGGACAGCAAUAGAUCAGGAGGUGGAGCAGGUUGUCCAGUAAUCGGAACGUUCCAGGUUUGAUCCUGACUUCAAUCAGAGAUUGAUGCUGUUGAGUCCUUGGGCAAGACACUUAACCUGCUUUGCCUGCUGGUGGUGGUCGGAGGGACCGGUGGCGCCUGUGCUCAGCAGCUUCACCUCUGUCAGUGCGCUCCAGAGCAGCUAUGGCUACAUCAUAGCUCAUCACCAUCAGUGUGUUAAUGUGUGUGAAUGACUGAUUGUGUUGUAAUGUGCCUUGGGGGGUUGUAGAACCCUAAGAAGGCAUUAUACAAAUACAGAUCAUUUACCUAAACAAGUUACUUUUGCUUUACAUUGUCCUUAUGGUGUAUAUAAUGAUUCGCUUCCAUUUUGAAUUUCUAAUAAAUAUGAAUUGUUAUUCAGCCGGGUAUACUGUGGUUAUGUCAUGGUGUUUGAAAAUAUUAUUCUGUGUGCCCCUUUUUAAAUUUGAGCACCCGCCCCUUCAAAGGUCUCUGCACAGCCCUGCUCACGCUGGUGAGGAGAAACCAUUAGUUCUAGUAACACCUGGGCUCCCAAGGCCUGUUCUGACAGGAUGGAUAUUACGGGACCCUUAAGGAUUCCAGUUGGAUGAUUGGAGGAUUAUUUAGGAGGACUGGAAUGAACAAACUGAUUUCAGUGGUGAAGGGUUAAAGGUAUUGGCUCAGCAUUAAAAUUGUAGAAAUGCAAAAUAACUACACUUUACCAUCCAUAUAAACAUGUACUGGGCUCAGUUUUUUAUUUUGUUAAGGACUUUUGUCAUAAAUCAUUACAGAAAAUCCAAAUCCUCUCCUCCAGACAGUGAAGAACUGUGUUUCACAUACGUCACUCCAGCACGUAAAACAAGCUAGCUGCUGAUGCUAGUAAUGUGAAUCACUGUUAUUUGUUUACUUUCAUGCUCCUAAUUGUUACGUAAAAUUGAGUUUACAGCUGCAGCAAAAGGUAUGAGCCAUGUGUCUGUGUCCUACACGCGUUUUUAAAUAACAGGUCUGAUCUAAAAUAAUAACCUACAUCUUUAAAACCAUCUGGAACUGCACCGCUACUUCUGGACUCCAGACGAGUCCUGUUAGCAUGACUGCAGCAAAACUGCUAACUGUGUUCGCUCCGGUAAGGAAAGAACAAGUCCUUUGGGAAAGCUAUGACACACACACAAACACACACA